GACGAACGCUGGCGGCGUGCCUAAUACAUGCAAGUCGAGCGGACGAUUCGAAAGCUUGCUUUUGAAUCGUUAGCGGCGGACGGGUGAGUAACACGUGGGCAACCUGCCCUGUAGACGGGGAUAACACCGAGAAAUCGGUGCUAAUACCGGAUAACACGAAAUGUCGCAUGACGUUUCGUUGAAAGGCGGCGCAAGCUGCCGCUACAGGAUGGGCCCGCGGCGCAUUAGCUAGUUGGUGAGGUAACGGCUCACCAAGGCGACGAUGCGUAGCCGACCUGAGAGGGUGAUCGGCCACACUGGGACUGAGUCACGGCCCAGACUCCUACGGGAGGCAGCAGUAGGGAAUCUUCCGCAAUGGACGAAAGUCUGACGGAGCAACGCCGCGUGAGCGAAGAAGGCCUUCGGGUCGUAAAGCUCUGUUGUUAGGGAAGAACAAGUAACGUAGUAACUGACGUUACUAUGACGGUACCUAACGAGAAAGCCACGGCUAACUACGUG
RNAcentral lists this ribosomal RNA (498 nucleotides) under uncultured bacterium. RNAcentral's name for it is "partial 16S ribosomal RNA". It matches the Rfam family "Bacterial small subunit ribosomal RNA", at positions 28 to 507 of the family's 1533-position model. The record is from RNAcentral.